GGUGGCGAUGGCGGAGGGGUUCCACGCGUACCCAUCCCGAACACGACCGUUAAGCCCUCCAGCGCCGAUGGUACUUGGACCGAAGGGUCCUGGGAGAGUAGGACGCCGCCAAGC
RNAcentral lists this ribosomal RNA (114 nucleotides) under Paenibacillus macerans. The record is from RNAcentral. Lineage: Bacteria; Bacillati; Bacillota; Bacilli; Caryophanales; Paenibacillaceae.